CACAUUACCAUGAAGAGCAGUAGAGAGAUAUAGAUGCUUUUCAGGUGCCUGGUCGACAUGCUCCAUUUGAUAUUUUGCCCACAGUUAGUGUGGAGUGGAAAAGCAAAUGGGAUUUCAAAAAACCUUGAUCACCAGUCCUGAAGACCAGGAGACUUACUGAGGGCCACAUGGAUGGGGUAAGAAGAGUUUGCUUUGCUGGGAACUGUAUUGUUCAACAGUCUCUGACUUUCUCUGGAGAGUUUGUGCUUCUGUGAGUGCCUGCACCAGUGUAGAUACAUUCACUCUGGCAGCCUCACCAGGCAGUCCACGUUCUCAGUUGGGAAUGAAGACCUGCCUAAAAUACAGACACCCUCAACAUCAUGUUCAUACUGUAACCUCUCAUUUGACAUAUUAAACCUCAUUUCUUCUUGAAAAGCAGAAAAAUGACCACUGGAGUGGUUGUUUGUAUUUUUAGAAAUCCAUCGAGAUGAAAGUAACCCACAGAGUCCAAAGUGGAGAAUCCAUAACUCAGACUCCAAGCCUGGAAAAAAUCCUACCACCCCACCUGGCCAAUCCCAGCCCAGCCCCUAAAAAGACAUAAAAUUUGUGUUAAAUCACAUCUAAUGCUGCCAUAUUCCAGGGAGGCUGCCAGUGUUCUAGGGGCUAUGUAGUUCCUGCACAUGAGAGGCAACGUUGUUGUACAAGGAUGCAAUAAUGAUGCAGGUCAUGUUGGGGAGACAGUAGGGUAAACAAUUGUUGAAAGGUAUCCUCUUGAUAUGGGGUCCAUGACAAAAAGGUGGAGUAGGGAUGAACCCUAGAAGCAUAGAGAACCCUGGAGGAGGUACAGCGAUCUCAUGGUAUCUCACCCCAUCCUUAUCCAGAAUAUAAAUGUCAGAAAUGGAGGAAUGACUCAGGAUUAUUACCCUAAAAUGGAACCAGUGGAAACCCCUGUAGAGAAAAUUUAGUGCGGUGAUGAGGUGAGCCAGGUCCAAUUCCUUGCCUUGAGCCCCUGAGCAGGCUCACAGGUGCCCUCUCUCACAGCAGGUACCCUCUGGGAUCCUUCCUCCCAAGGUCACCCUCAGAUUUGCCACAACAGCAGAUAUACUCUGCUGUUUGGUGGCAAAUUCAGUCUGCUGCAGGGGACUGAAUGAACACAGCAUUUUCCAAGUGUUAGAUCUCCCCCAACCCCGGACACUGGGUAGGAAGACUUCCAUCAAAAGACUUCACCCUGAUGACGAGGCUGCUGACACAAAUGGAUGUUUCAAAAAGAGCUUCUACCUGUCCUGUUGUGAACUGAGUUUCAGAGUUGGCUGCAGCUUCCCUGGGCUGGGGUCAGAGCAGCCUGUCAACAUAUGUCAGCCCUUGGUGAUGAGCAAUUCCAUUCUCAAUGAGGUAGUUUAAAAUUGACUUCUACUGUGGUGGAGUCCCAUGAAAUAGGCACAAAUAUGUGGGGGGCCCUACUUAGACUGCAGCAUCCACCAAUGAGCUGCAGGGGUCAUUCCUCACUGCAAAAGCACAGACAGCAUAAUCAUUAAUCAACUGCCGAAACACUGCAGUUCUCCUGGGACCCAGAUAUUAUUCUCUCCUUUUUAAGGAGGUUGAUAUUCGAGACAGUUACUGUAGAAAGGAGAAGACUAAAUCCAGGCCGUAGAAUAUCUAAGAUUUUCUGGAAUUUUCUCAGAAAAGGGCACAUGAGAUGUCAGGUUGGGAUGACAUCCAAGCAGACCCUGAGGCCUUGGUUCAGGAGAUUGUACAGUUGCUGGUUAAUCAAGUGCUAGAGAUGGCCCUGGCACAGCAGACAAGUCAUGUCCAGAAGGAUCUCCUGUACUCAUCACUGUUGCAGAUACAAGCGAGGUUGGAGGCACUUUGAAAGUUAAAUUUUGUAAAUGCGUGCGUAGUAAGGAGAUGGUGCAGGAAUGAGGGAACUGAACCAGCCAGUCUCAGACAAUGAACACAAACUUGAGGUUGUAAUAAUCCCUGUAAAAAAAGUCAGACUUUUUUCAUCAUAAGCACAUAAGAUGUGAAGAGUACAUCUAGCUAAGAGUUUGUUGGAGACUUUUCCGCAGACCUUGACCUCAUCCCAGGGGCUGUGGUGGAUAUAAGGAAUUUAUCCUCAGUGUCCAUCCCUAACAUCCCCCAGUAUGCCUGUAUUUGUCUCUUUGUGCAGCUAUAACAAAAUACCGGGGCUGGGAGCAGUGGCUCACACCUGUAAUCCCAGCACUUUGGGAGGCCAAAGUGGGUGGAUCACAAGGUGAGGAGUUCCAGACCAGCCUGACCAACAUGGUGAAACCGCGUAUCUACUAAAAAUACAAAUAUUAGCUGGGUGUGGGGGCACACACCUGUAAUCCCAGCUACUCAGGAAGCUGAGGCAGGAGAAUCACUUGAACCUGGGAGGUGGAAGUUGCAGUAAGCCAAGAUCACACCACUGCACUCCAGCCUGGGCAACAGAGCAAGACUCCAUUAAAAAAAAAAAAAA
Macaca mulatta (Rhesus monkey) is the source of this 2455-nucleotide long non-coding RNA. Lineage: Eukaryota; Metazoa; Chordata; Mammalia; Primates; Cercopithecidae. The record is from Ensembl.